GUCCUGCCAAGGGCACGGCUGGGUAGCGAAGUUCGGUUGUGAUAACCGCUGAAUGCAUAUAAGCGGGAAGCACGCCCCAAGAUGAGAUCUCCCUGAAGGGCCCAGAAAGACCAUCUGGUUGAUAGGCUGGACGUGGAAGUGUGGUGACACACGUAGCUUACCAGUACUAAUCGCCCGUUUGGCUUAACCAU
Molecule: ribosomal RNA, 191 nt
Filed under: Occallatibacter sp.
Lineage: Bacteria; Pseudomonadati; Acidobacteriota; Terriglobia; Terriglobales; Acidobacteriaceae
Description: partial 23S ribosomal RNA
Rfam family: Bacterial large subunit ribosomal RNA
Source: RNAcentral